This 760-nucleotide ribosomal RNA is filed under the name Pristimantis hectus. Its description in RNAcentral is "partial large subunit ribosomal RNA". It matches the Rfam family "Bacterial large subunit ribosomal RNA", at positions 1282 to 2563 of the family's 2925-position model. The record is from RNAcentral. Lineage: Eukaryota; Metazoa; Chordata; Amphibia; Anura; Strabomantidae.
AUAGAACCUUUUAUGCUAAAACUAGUAACAAGAGGUAAAUCCUCUCUACAAUGUCGAUACAAGCCAGCAAGAACCCACCACUGGCAAUUGACAGACCUAUUAAGAGUAGCAACUCCUCGAGAAAACACUACUCCAACUAACUGUUAACCUAAUACCAGAACAUUUCAAGAAAGAUUAAAAGAAAGAGAAGGAAUUCGGCAAACAUUAGCCCCGCCUGUUUACCAAAAACACCGCCUCUUGUUCAUAUAAGAGGUCCAGCCUGCCCAGUGACUUCUGUUCAACGGCCGCGGUAUCCUAACCGUGCAAAGGUAGCGUAAUCACUUGUCUUCUAAAUAAAGACUAGUAUGAAAGGCAUCACGAGGACUAAACUGUCUCCUCUCCCUAAUCAGUGAACCUAAUAACCCCGUGAAGAAGCGGGGAUAUCUAUAUAAGACGAGAAGACCCUAUGGAGCUUAAAACAUCAUAACACCUGCCACCCCACUUAUUUACCCCGGUUUUCACCCCUGUGGCUCUCUGAUUAUAUGUUUUUGGUUGGGGCGACCGCGGAGAAAAACCUAUCCUCCACAAUGAAAGGGCCCCCCCCCUAAACAGUAAGCUACAACUUUAUGUAUCAGCAAACUGACAUCCAUUGACCCAAUAUAUUUGAUUAACGAACCAAGUUACCCUAGGGAUAACAGCGCAAUCCACUUUGAGAGCCCAUAUCGACAAGUGGGCUUACGACCUCGAUGUUGGAUCGGGGUAUCCUAGUGGUGCAGCCGCU